RNAcentral lists this ribosomal RNA (429 nucleotides) under Bacteroidota bacterium. RNAcentral's name for it is "Bacteroidetes bacterium partial 16S ribosomal RNA". It matches the Rfam family "Bacterial small subunit ribosomal RNA", at positions 355 to 776 of the family's 1533-position model. The record is from RNAcentral. Lineage: Bacteria; Pseudomonadati; Bacteroidota.
UAGGGAAUCUUCGGCAAUGGGGGGAACCCUGACCGAGCAACGCCGCGUGAGUGAAGAAGGUUUUCGGAUCGUAAAGCUCUGUUGUUAAGGAAGAACGAGUGUGAGAAUGGAAAGUUCAUACUGUGACGGUACUUAACCAGAAAGGGACGGCUAACUACGUGCCAGCAGCCGCGGUAAUACGUAGGUCCCGAGCGUUGUCCGGAUUUAUUGGGCGUAAAGCGAGCGCAGGCGGUUAGAUAAGUCUGAAGUGAAAGGCAGUGGCUCAACCAUUGUAGGCUUUGGAAACUGUUUAACUUGAGUGCAGAAGGGGAGAGUGGAAUUCCAUGUGUAGCGGUGAAAUGCGUAGAUAUAUGGAGGAACACCGGUGGCGAAAGCGGCUCUCUGGUCUGUAACUGACGCUGAGGCUCGAAAGCGUGGGGAGCGAACAGG